This 444-nucleotide ribosomal RNA is filed under the name uncultured bacterium. Its description in RNAcentral is "bacterial SSU rRNA". It matches the Rfam family "Bacterial small subunit ribosomal RNA", at positions 28 to 454 of the family's 1533-position model. The record is from RNAcentral.
GAUGAACGCUGGCGGCGUGCUUAACACAUGCAAGUCGAGCGAAGCAGUUAAGUUGAUUUCUUCGGAUUGAUUCUUAAUUGACUGAGCGGCGGACGGGUGAGUAACGCGUGGGUGACCUGCCCCAUACCGGGGGAUAACAGCUGGAAACGGCUGCUAAUACCGCAUAAGCGCACAGAGCUGCAUGGCUCAGUGUGAAAAACUCCGGUGGUAUGGGAUGGGCCCGCGUCUGAUUAGGCAGUUGGCGGGGUAACGGCCCACCAAACCGACGAUCAGUAGCCGGCCUGGGAGGGCGACCGGCCACAUUGGGACUGAGACACGGCCCAAACUCCUACGGGAGGCAGCAGUGGGGAAUAUUGCACAAUGGGGGAAACCCUGAUGCAGCGACGCCGCGUGAGCGAAGAAGUAUUUCGGUAUGUAAAGCUCUAUCAGCAGGGAAGAUAAUGA